CCUACGGGGGGCUGCAGUAAGGAAUAUUGGGCAAUGGACGAAAGUCUGACCCAGCCAUGCCGCGUGGAGGAUGAAGGUCCUCUGGAUUGUAAACUUCUUUUUUCUGUAAAGAAACCCACGGUUUCCACUGUGGUUGACGGUAACAGAAGAAUAAGCACCGGCUAACUCCGUGCCAGCAGCCGCGGUAAUACGGAGGGUGCAAGCGUUAUCCGGAUUCACUGGGUUUAAAGGGAGCGUAGGCGGGCAGGUAAGUCAGUGGUGAAAUCCCCGAGCUU
RNAcentral lists this ribosomal RNA (275 nucleotides) under uncultured bacterium. Its description in RNAcentral is "partial 16S ribosomal RNA". It matches the Rfam family "Bacterial small subunit ribosomal RNA", at positions 338 to 610 of the family's 1533-position model. The record is from RNAcentral.